Long non-coding RNA from Epinephelus moara (kelp grouper), 249 nucleotides. RefSeq lists it as uncharacterized. The transcript is spliced from 3 exons. The record is from RefSeq and is a predicted model, not a curated record. Lineage: Eukaryota; Metazoa; Chordata; Actinopteri; Perciformes; Serranidae.
GUGGUCAUGAACUAACGUAAAGGUCAAACUCUUGCUCCUUUUGUCAGCAGGACCCAUUAGAUGUGGGCAAAAACCUUACAACAAUGGAAGAGCACUGCUUCUCUCAAAAGCCUUCAUUAAUGAAUGUGAGGACAACCCAGAGUUGCUGGAGGAAGCGGUAAAAGAGGCACAGUGGGUGCGCCAGCUUCAUAGUGAUGACCUUGUACACUGGAUGAAUGGGAGCACUUCAGCAAGGAAAGAUCUUGAGGU